Molecule: ribosomal RNA, 25 nt
Filed under: Tulipa undulatifolia
Lineage: Eukaryota; Viridiplantae; Streptophyta; Magnoliopsida; Liliales; Liliaceae
Description: partial 26S ribosomal RNA
Source: RNAcentral
GCGACCCCAGGUCAGGCGGGACCCC